Haemorhous mexicanus (house finch) is the source of this 3987-nucleotide long non-coding RNA. RefSeq lists it as uncharacterized. The transcript is spliced from 2 exons. Lineage: Eukaryota; Metazoa; Chordata; Aves; Passeriformes; Fringillidae. The record is from RefSeq and is a predicted model, not a curated record.
AAGGCACCGCCGAGCCGCUGCUCAGGGACACACCUCGCGGCGGAGCGGCCGCCCGGCCCGGCCCCGCGUACCUGCCCGGCCGCCCGGGAGCGGCCGUGCCGAGCGGCGGGGGCGGUCGCGGGCAGUCGGGCCGAUGGGCGGCCGGUAGGACGCGGGGAGCGGGCGGGGAGACUGCGCCCUCACCUCUAGGCACAUCUCUUUAAUAGCUCCGGGGCUCAUCACUAGGAAGGGAGAAGCUGGCACCAAACCCAACCCAGUCCUGCCGUAAAUUAGAAACUUGGGCUCUCCCCACAUACCAGCAUAGGUUUUCGUCAGAAACGCAUUCUCAGUUUGUUCUAGUAUUUUAGGAUGAACUCCCCAGGAAAGAGAUUAAUGUCUUUUGUUACCAACAUGUUGCAAGCCACAGUAAGCCACGCUUUACUGUCCUUUGUCCAUCCGACACUUCCACCGUGGGAAACCCUGUUAGCUGUAACCUAGAGCUGUGGGGUAAGAGCUCAGAGGUGCUCUUAGGCUAUCUAGUGCCACUGCUUUAAAGCCGUGCUUUUUAUCUGUGCUGCUCUGUCAAAGGCUAAGUGUGACAGAUAGCUCCAGUAACACCAUGUCUAUCCAUUCUUCGAGAAAGCUUCAGUGACAUAAUUUGUUUCAGAAAAAUAACUUGUUUGGUUUUAUUUUGUUAUUUAGGUAUAUCUAAUACAGGCUUUGCAUCUCCACAAUAAUUACUUCAAUUACAGCAUGACAAAUGUAAACAAUGUAUUCAUAUCACAUAGUUGAAGUAAAGUAGGUGAAAACAGAAGAGCCAGCCUCAUUCAAAGCAAAUGUCCCUAGGCUGGUAUCUUCUGUCUGACAAUGGCCAAUAGUAGAGGUACAGGUAAGAGGUAUAAAAACAUAAAAAACACCAUUAAGUGGCCUUUUCUUUCUGUUUUCAGAUCCUGAAGUGCAGAGGAAAAGCUGUCAGGUGAAAUCCACUGCAACCCUAGCAGCCACAAAUGUACCACUUCUCUAUGAAUUUGUCAAAUAGCUUUUUGAUCUGUUGGUACACCUGGCCUCCAGGAGUGGUGGGAAGGUCUUAAAUUUGCACAAAGGCUAGACAGGAACUUUUUCUCACUGGUUUUAAAUCCAGUGCUUAAUAAUUUUACAGGAUAUUGAAUUUUUGUAAUCUAAGAAAUAGUGAAUGAUCAUGCCCUAUUUGUUUCUACCAUACCAGUUUAUAGACCUCUCUCACAUGAUUUCAGAACCAUCCUUUUUCCUGAUCUGUGGAGCUUUGGUCUUUUACUUGUUUCCAAACCCCUUAGAGCUAGCAUUGCUCAAAGGAGCAGUACUUCCAGUCCCUGUUGCUUUUCCCUGUCCUUUGGCCACAUCCGUUUCUAGUGCUAGCAUGCUGCAAACUCUAUCAGAAUAAUCCAGCAAAAAUGAUUAAUUUUGUUUCAGAUCAGUUCCCCCACUGAGCUGCUGAACAGCUGCACAAACACCAAAAGGGAGAGGCUUUCAGGGGUGACAGCGAGUAGCUGCAGGCAAAGGAGCUUGGGCCUAAUUUCAUCAGCAGAGCUGGCCAAAAUGGUUUACAAAGCUACAGCUGUCAGGCAGAGAUUUCCUAGGACUGGCUGCCACUUUCCUCCCUCUGUCGUGUAUCCCCCUGCCCACAUCCACAGAUGUGGCUGUGCCAUUUCAGCUCAGUCACCUGGCAGGAAACUCUUCUGUUUUUUAGAGUGUGUGUGUGUGUGUGUGUCAGUGUGUGUGUGAGUGUGAGAGUGUGUGUGUGUGUUUUACCAGGUUACUGUGCUGAACCAGCUCAGUGACAGCAUGAAGAGGUGUGGAGUGGGAUUACAGCAGUAAAUCCAUAGUCUGCUCUGGGAUUGCAGCCUGAGCCCCUCAAACAGAAGCCAUUCCCCACCUUUUUAUCCUGCCCUGCAUGUUUUCUAUUUAUACUUCUUUUCAGACAAUGUGGACAAAACUACAUGCAAUAUUCAAGAUACAAUAUUAUAGCAACAGUGUCCUGCUUCCUUCUUACUUCUGGUUUUUUUCUUACUAUAUUCAAACAUUGCAUGAGUCACAUCUUGACCUGUUCUCUCCCCAGAGCCAUGAACGAGAGGUCUGAGAUCUCUUUCCUGAGUGGAAAGGCCUUUCCUGAGUGCAGAUUUACCAGUGAAUACAGAAGGUGAAUGAGGUUUCCUUUCAUUAGAGGCUAAAAUGGUGACUGAAAAUGUCUUUAGGCACUAGCAAAACCAAAUUGCUUACCUGGACAGUGGCACUCCUUCUUCAGCAUGCAGACAGCGAGCAAACUCCUGGCAGAACCAGCCACUGCCAUCCUCAGGUGAGCUCCCAGACUGAAUGGCACCAACCAACAGCACAGACCUCCUGCCAGAGCCUACAGGACAUCUAGCUCCUGGUUUAUUAUAUGCCUCUGCAGGACACCAAAGGGUUGAGGUGGGGGUGCAGGACCAAAGAGUCUGUUUUGUGUGAAUCUGAGUCACCACUAAGCACCUGGAGGCAGGGAGUCCAGUGAGGCUGUUGAUUUAUGGUGACAUGAUGUUGUGGAGAAGAUCUUCAAUAUAUGACUCUGCUUUUUACUUCUUACUCCCUUUUUAAAAAAAUAGCUUUGCUUUUCUCCGUUUUGAAACAACCUCUGUACCUCUGGGAUACAAGCAUUAGAUUGUGGACUUACCUUCAUUGUGGAGGAACACCAGUUCCUUUUAUCUCACUCCUGCCUUCACAUGUCUGUUAUCCAGUUGAGGAUAAUAAAUUCAGUUCUAAUAGAUUUCUUGCUUGAUGAUUAAGCACCUGUUGUGCCAUCACUAAAUGUCUCUCGAGCGUCUCCUUAUGUUGCCAUUUAAAAAAAGAAUUUUGUAGAGGUUGAAAGAUACCUUAAUUUUCAACACGUGUGACAAGGCAAAGAAGGGAGCUCACAAACUGGAACUACUGUGGGCAGACAGACCAUAAAUAACUUUAGAAUGCCCCUAGCAGGUAACUUAUAUAAAAAAACUAGAAUCCCAGAUAUCCUACUGUCUUCACACACACACACACACACACACACACACACACACACACACACACACGCAUCUUGUUUGUAUGGAAAAAUCACAUAAAAAUUCCUCACUGAAACAGUGUCAUUUUGAAGAUCUGAGGAUUUGUAAUUUUGUUUCACCCAAAGGUGAAAAAGCUCCUGUAGCAGUGUGUGCAGCUUGACCAGGUGGGCUUCAGUUAAUUAGACAAAGUAUGGGUUCCCACACUAAAAAUUUAAGAUUUCUUUUUGUCAUCAGCAGGAAUUGAACCCAGACUUCAAGACAGGAACCUUUCAUGGUACCAAUGCAAUCCCUGUUGCUUGGGAAACCCAUUUGGUAGAUCCAUCUGGACCUUCUAAUGUGCCACUGCUGCAGAUGAGCUGGGGCUUUUUGCACAGCCUGCACUUUCCUUUUUAAAAACAGAGUUUUGGACACAUCAGCUUCAUUUGAUGCCUGGCUGUUAAGUGAGUCAAAAUAAAUUAAAAUUGUAAAGUAUUUGUGAUGAUGAGAAGUGAAAGUGGGAGGGUAACAAAAAUGGGAUGCAAGCCUUCUAAGAACAUUUCCACGCACUCAGUGUAAUGCUGGAUAGUCAUGCAGCUCCACUGAAAGAUGUUACUGAUGCAUAUGUGAAAUCUUAUUCCAAGACACACACUGAUGUAGAAUGAAAGUGGUGAUGAAAAAGAAUGUCAGAAGGAUGAGAAACCGCAACGAAAAGCAAUUAGAAGCCAUGCUUGGAUUCAGGCUAUUUUCAUAUUCAGGGAUAAAUACAAAGAACUACUUUCUCCUCUUCCAAAUAUAAGUCCUUCAUGGAGCCACACAAACAAGUGCCUUUGUUUAGAUCAGGCCAAUAUUUUUGUCUGAGAAUGUGAAAUUUCAUCCACAGGUCUUUAAUAAUGUAAAUGGCAUAAAAUUCCUCUUCUCUGGUGUGCUCAACUCUAACAUUUUCUAAUAAAAACAAUCACAGAAAAGGUGUCCUUAUACUGAACAA